Molecule: long non-coding RNA, 202 nt
Filed under: Dromaius novaehollandiae (emu)
Lineage: Eukaryota; Metazoa; Chordata; Aves; Casuariiformes; Dromaiidae
Description: lncRNA (ENSDNVG00000012693.1)
Source: RNAcentral
AAAGAUGGAUUUAAUUGGAGGAGGUAUCUUGCCUGCCUUGCAGAUCCCAUCGCCUUUGGGUAAAUCGCGUAGACUGUUCUGCCGUUUGCGGUGCUGUUCUGUCCUGCACAAUGGAGCUGCGUUGUCACGUCCUUAGAUCAGGUUUGUGCCUUUGUGUCUGUGGAAUGAUAAGCCCGGGCUCGGGGAGGCGGUUCACAAGCGU